UGCAGUCGGACGGUAGCACAGAGGAGCUUGCUCCUCGGGUGACGAGUGGCGGACGGGUGAGUAAUGUCUGGGGAUCUGCCCGAUAGAGGGGGAUAACCACUGGAAACGGUGGCUAAUACCGCAUAACGUCGCAAGACCAAAGAGGGGGACCUUCGGGCCUCUCACUAUCGGAUGAACCCAGAUGGGAUUAGCUAGUAGGCGGGGUAACGGCCCACCUAGGCGACGAUCCCUAGCUGGUCUGAGAGGAUGACCAGCCACACUGGAACUGAGACACGGUCCAGACUCCUACGGGAGGCAGCAGUGGGGAAUAUUGCACAAUGGGCGCAAGCCUGAUGCAGCCAUGCCGCGUGUAUGAAGAAGGCCUUCGGGUUGUAAAGUACUUUCAGCGGGGAGGAAGGCGAUGUGGUUAAUAACCGCAUUGAUUGACGUUACCCGCAGAAGAAGCACCGGCUAACUCCGUGCCAGCAGCCGCGGUAAUACGGAGGGUGCAAGCGUUAAUCGGAAUUACUGGGCGUAAAGCGCACGCAGGCGGUCUGUUAAGUCAGAUGUGAAAUCCCCGGGCUUAACCUGGGAACUGCAUUUGAAACUGGCAGGCUUGAGUCUCGUAGAGGGGGGUAGAAUUCCAGGUGUAGCGGUGAAAUGCGUAGAGAUCUGGAGGAAUACCGGUGGCGAAGGCGGCCCCCUGGACGAAGACUGACGCUCAGGUGCGAAAGCGUGGGGAGCAAACAGGAUUAGAUACCCUGGUAGUCCACGCCGUAAACGAUGUCGACUUGGAGGUUGUUCCCUUGAGGAGUGGCUUCCGGAGCUAACGCGUUAAGUCGACCGCCUGGGGAGUACGGCCGCAAGGUUAAAACUCAAAUGAAUUGACGGGGGCCCGCACAAGCGGUGGAGCAUGUGGUUUAAUUCGAUGCAACGCGAAGAACCUUACCUACUCUUGACAUCCAGAGAACUUAGCAGAGAUGCUUUUAGUGCCUUCGGGAACUCUGAGACAGGUGCUGCAUGGCUGUCGUCAGCUCGUGUUGUGAAAUGUUGGGUUAAGUCCCGCAACGAGCGCAACCCUUAUCCUUUGUUGCCAGCGAUUCGGUCGGGAACUCAAAGGAGACUGCCGGUGAUAAACCGGAGGAAGGUGGGGGAUGACGUCAAGUCAUCAUGGCCCUUACGAGUAGGGCUACACACGUGCUACAAUGGCGCAUACAAAGAGAAGCGACCUCGCGAGAGCAAGCGGACCUCAUAAAGUGCGUCGUAGUCCGGAUCGGAGUCUGCAACUCGACUCCGUGAAGUCGGAAUCGCUAGUAAUCGUGGAUCAGAAUGCCACGGUGAAUACGUUCCCGGGCCUUGUACACACCGCCCGUCACACCAUGGGAGUGGGUUGCAAAAGAAGUAGGUAGCUUAACCUUCGGGAGGGCGCUA
This 1410-nucleotide ribosomal RNA is filed under the name Pantoea ananatis. RNAcentral's name for it is "bacterial SSU rRNA". It matches the Rfam family "Bacterial small subunit ribosomal RNA". Lineage: Bacteria; Pseudomonadati; Pseudomonadota; Gammaproteobacteria; Enterobacterales; Erwiniaceae. The record is from RNAcentral.